UAUUCUGCCCUACAGGGAAGGAUGAGAAGCUUCGACUAAGGUUCGACUCGAGCGAAGCGAGAGAACGUUGCCGCAGGCAACGGCCCGAAGGGCGAGG
This 97-nucleotide small RNA is filed under the name Klebsiella pneumoniae. Its description in RNAcentral is "partial RtT sRNA". It matches the Rfam family "RtT RNA", at positions 1 to 96 of the family's 130-position model. Rfam says of the family: This family represents a bacterial cis-regulatory element known as RtT RNA. The exact function of RtT is unknown although it is thought that it may be involved in changing the cellular response in relation to amino acid starvation. Lineage: Bacteria; Pseudomonadati; Pseudomonadota; Gammaproteobacteria; Enterobacterales; Enterobacteriaceae. The record is from RNAcentral.